Molecule: long non-coding RNA, 510 nt
Filed under: Arabidopsis thaliana (thale cress)
Lineage: Eukaryota; Viridiplantae; Streptophyta; Magnoliopsida; Brassicales; Brassicaceae
Description: long non-coding RNA (ATHA_LNC000042)
Source: RNAcentral
GAAAGGAGCAGGAAUGAAAGGAGUUCCAGGAGUGCCUGGGUCAAUGAUAGGAGUUGGUGGGCUUCCUCCAAUGAUGGGUGUGCCUGGAUCAACAAUGGGUGAUGGUGGAGUCACAACAACCGGAGUUCUUGGUGGAGGAGAUGAGUAAUAUCCACCAGAAGGAGGGUGUGAUGGCGUUGGGUGCGAAGGAGUGGAAGGGUGUGAAGGCGUGGAAGGGUGGGAAGGUGGACUUCCACAGUUACAAGGAGGGGUGUGUGGAGUUGGCGUGUGUGAUGGAGUGUGUGGAGUUGGAGUGUGUGAUGGAGUGGAAGGAGUUGGAGUAUGUGAUGGAGGUGAAGGGUGAGAAGGAGUUGAAGGAGAAGGGUCGUAAGGUGGACUUCCACAGUUAGAAGAAGGAGGCGUGUGUGAUGGAGGAGUUCCAUGUGAGCCUGCAUGAGUUAAGUGAAAGAAGCAUAGUGAAGAUUCUUAUUACAUCAAGCGAAUAAAAAAAGUUACAAUGUUUGGUUUCUU